AGAGUUUGAUCCUGGCUCAGGAUGAACGCUAGCUACAGGCUUAACACAUGCAAGUCGAGGGGCAGCAUGGUCUUAGCUUGCUAAGGCCGAUGGCGACCGGCGCACGGGUGAGUAACGCGUAUCCAACCUGCCUUACACUCUUGGACAGCCUUCUGAAAGGGAGAUUAAUACAAGAUGUUAUCAUGAGUAAGCAUUUUCGCAUGAUUAAAGGUUUACCGGUGUAAGAUGGGGAUGCGUUCCAUUAGAUAGUAGGCGGGGUAACGGCCCACCUAGUCUUCGAUGGAUAGGGGUUCUGAGAGGAAGGUCCCCCACAUUGGAACUGAGACACGGUCCAAACUCCUACGGGAGGCAGCAGUGAGGAAUAUUGGUCAAUGGACGAGAGUCUGAACCAGCCAAGUAGCGUGAAGGAUGAAGGUUCUAUGGAUUGUAAACUUCUUUUAUACGGGAAUAAACGAAUCCACGCGUGGAUUUUUGCAUGUACCGUAUGAAUAAGGAUCGGCUAACUCCGUGCCAGCAGCCGCGGUAAUACGGAGGAUCCGAGCGUUAUCCGGAUUUAUUGGGUUUAAAGGGAGCGUAGAUGGGUUGUUAAGUCAGUUGUGAAAGUUUGCGGCUCAACCGUAAAAUUGCAAUUGAUACUGGCAGUCUUGAGUACAGUUGAGGUAGGCGGAAUUCGUGGUGUAGCGGUGAAAUGCUUAGAUAUCACGAAGAACUCCGAUUGCGAAGGCAGCUUACUAACCUGUAACUGACAUUGAUGCUCGAAAGUGUGGGUAUCAAACAGGAUUAGAUACCCUGGUAGUCCACACGGUAAACGAUGAA
RNAcentral lists this ribosomal RNA (816 nucleotides) under uncultured bacterium. RNAcentral describes it as "bacterial SSU rRNA". It matches the Rfam family "Bacterial small subunit ribosomal RNA", at positions 8 to 813 of the family's 1533-position model. The record is from RNAcentral.